This is a long non-coding RNA of Hibiscus syriacus, 128 nucleotides long. RefSeq lists it as uncharacterized. NCBI's taxonomy places the organism in Eukaryota, Viridiplantae, Streptophyta, Magnoliopsida, Malvales, Malvaceae. The transcript has 3 exons. The record is from RefSeq and is a predicted model, not a curated record.
GGAGUAGGAGUUGAUAGGGAAUCCAUGGUCUUCGUGGAAUCCAGAGAAUUGAAGAGAAGUAACAGGGAGUUGAAUAAUAACAACAAGAGCCAAGGUGUUGCAGUGGAAAUAGGUGUCGGAGGAGAUCG